RNAcentral lists this ribosomal RNA (254 nucleotides) under uncultured bacterium. Its description in RNAcentral is "partial 16S ribosomal RNA". It matches the Rfam family "Bacterial small subunit ribosomal RNA", at positions 524 to 776 of the family's 1533-position model. The record is from RNAcentral.
UACGGAGGGGGCUAGCGUUGUUCGGAAUUACUGGGCGUAAAGCGCGCGUAGGCGGCUUUGUAAGUUAGAGGUGAAAGCCCGGAGCUCAACUCCGGAACUGCCUUUAAGACUGCAUCGCUAGAAUCAUGGAGAGGUGAGUGGAAUUCCGAGUGUAGAGGUGAAAUUCGUAGAUAUUCGGAAAGAACACCAGUGGCGAAGGCGACUCACUGGACAUGUAUUGACGCUGAGGUGCGAAAGCGUGGGGAGCAAACAGG